CCACAGGCCUCCUUCCUCAGCAGAAGCUUCAGGCUCCCUCCCAGUCCCACUGAGUCAGAAUCUCUGGGAGUGGAGCCUAGGAAUCUGCAUUUUAAC
Molecule: microRNA precursor, 96 nt
Filed under: Mustela putorius furo (domestic ferret)
Lineage: Eukaryota; Metazoa; Chordata; Mammalia; Carnivora; Mustelidae
Description: miRNA (ENSMPUG00000021358.1)
Source: RNAcentral